RNA transcript from Vigna angularis (adzuki bean), 2906 nucleotides. It is a transcript of the gene named pentatricopeptide repeat-containing protein At4g26680, mitochondrial, with no coding region annotated. The transcript has 2 exons. Lineage: Eukaryota; Viridiplantae; Streptophyta; Magnoliopsida; Fabales; Fabaceae. The record is from RefSeq and is a predicted model, not a curated record.
AUUAAUUUAAACUUAUGCGGUCCCACUGAAGGAAGAAGGAAAGUAGAAAUAUGUAAAUUGAUGAAUCGAUUCCGAAAGAAAAACAUGUCCCACCUGAAAAUGAGAGAGAAGAAGCAUUGAACAAUGCGAAACAUUGAAGUUCGUCGAUUUUGCACUCUGAUAACCGAAGCAACCCACAGAACCCCAACAACGAAGCCAUUCCUUCCCAUACCUCACCGAACCCUUCCCGAACCUCGAGGCCAGGAUCUGGACUUCAUCACCGUCGCUCACAGUCACGUCGUCAACUCCCACUGGGAAAAGCUACAUCCUUUGUGCCCCGUUCUCACACCCUUUCGUCUCAAACACCUCUUCCUCAACCUCCAAAACGACCACGUAUUGUCCCUCAAACUUUCCCAAUGGCUUCUCCAACACCACCCAUCCACGCACACCCUCGAAACCCUCUCGUUCCUCCUCCACACCCUCGCCACACAUCGCCAAUUCAAAACCAUCCAAACCAUCCUCACAAAAAUCCUUUCUUCACACCCUCCCCACACCCUCUUCGACUCUCUCUUACACUCCUACCCUAUCUGCAAUGCUUCCCCUCUCGUCUUCGAUGCCCUCUUCAAAACCCUCGCCCAUGCCAGUAAAUUCCGCAGCGCCACCCUCACUUAUACCCUGAUGAAGCAACACGGCUUCUCCCUCACCGUUGAGUCCUGCAACGCCUUUUUAAGUUCUCUGCUUCGCCUCCGCAGAGCAGAUAUCGCGCUGUCGUUUUACCGGGAGAUGCGUCGCUCUUAUGUUUCGCCUAACGUCUACACUCUCAACAUGGUUAUUCGCGCUCAUUGCAUGUUGGGGGGAGUGCAGAAGGGCUUUGAGAUUUUCCAGAAGAUGGGGGACAUGGGCUUGAGUCCUAAUGUUGUGUCUUUCAAUACUUUGAUUUCGGGGUAUUGUAACAAGGGGCUGUUUGGCUUGGCUUUAAAGGUUAAAUCUUUGAUGGGGGGUCAUGGAGUGCAGGCUAAUGUGGUUACUUUUAACACUCUGAUUAAUGGGUUUUGUAAGGAGAGGAAGUUGCAUGAGGCGAAUAGGGUUUUCAAUGAGAUGAAGGUUGCCAAUGUAACCCCGAAUGUUGUAACUUACAAUACUUUGUUGCAUGGGUAUGGUCAGGUUGGAGACAGUGAAAUGGGUGGGAAAGUUUACGAGGAGAUGGUGAGGAAUGGGGUUAAGGCUGAUAUAUUAACUUAUAAUGCAUUGAUUUUGGGGCUGUGUAAGGAUGGAAAGACAAAGAAGGCUGCAGGGUUUGUAAAGGAGCUUGAUAAAGAGAACUUGGUUCCAAAUGCGAGUACUUUUUCUGCUCUUAUUACUGGACAGUGUGUGAGGAACAAUUCUGAGCGUGCCUUUCUUAUUUAUAGGAGCAUGGUGAGGAGUGGUUGUAAUCCAAAUGAGCAUACUUUUCAGAUGCUGAUAUCUGCUUUUUGCAAGAAUGAGGACUUUGAUGGGGCUGUGCAGGUUUUGAGGGACAUGCUGGGUAGAUUGAUGAGGCCAGAUUCCAGCACGUUAUCUGAGCUGUAUCAUGGACUUCACAGGUGUGGGAAAAACCAGUUGGCAUUGGCUCUGUGUAGCGAGAUAGAAGCGAGGCGACUCUUGCCGGAUGGGUUUGACAAAGAAAAAUUAUUCAUCGUCCCUCCUGAAAAUGAGACAAGUAGCUGAACUCUGGUAUUCUCCAUCAGAGGUAAUUUUGUUCGAGACACUUCAGAUACUAGAUGUGGUGGACAAUAGAUGUCUAUAUUAACGCAGAUACGAAUAUUAGUUUGUUACAUCGUGGAAUUUAAGUCCUUUGUAUUAGAUUGAACCCUUGGUGGUGGUACUUGUCUGGUUGUUUGAAGCUGAACAUUACCCUGUACUUGGUUAACUUGUUUGGUUCUACAUUUCAUACCCAAUAGAAGUAUCAUUGUAAAUAUUCCAUUAAAUUAACCACGGAAGAUACAUAUUUGAGAUCGAGAUGAAUUUGCUUGAAUGGGGAUGCUUGAGUUGUUAUUCAUUACUAAUUCUAUGAUUAGUCAGUCAGUUAGUUAAGGGCUUGAAGCCUGGAUCUCUUGUAUUUCCUUGGAAUUUUUUUGUGGAGAUACACUCAGUCAAUAUAUAAAAAAUUUGUCUUUCUUCCUAUUCUGAAUUUUGAUCCAGUAUCUAUCAUACUGUGCAAAACGGUUUAUAAGAAUUUUUUUUUAACCAACAAUUACUCCCAAAAAAAUUGACUAGAAUGCCGUGAGUUAUCUGAAUUCCAAUAGAACUCUAAAGGAGCACUAGCGUUCAUUGGUGUAGCGGCACUGUUCAUGACAAUUUCUGGGCUGAUAUCAUCUUCCAUCUCCGAGCUCACUAUGUUACGCUAUUUUCCCAACUUUUUGGUGCAGGGAGUAGGAUCUGUACAGCAAGUGAAGCGUGAGCUGCUGCUGGGCCACAAGAUCAAGACUGCACUUGCUGUGAAGAGCUGGCUGACCUUUUCUGGACUGGUGAUGCGGCUGGAGCAAGCUGAAGGGGCAGGCCAAGUCAAUUUGGGCCAUGUGAGGAGCUGACUUACACUUAGAAGGCUAAACCUGAAUUAGUCUCGUAAAUUAGCAUUAGGCUGGAUUCAUUUUCUUUUCCCAUUUAAGAGCAGCUUAGCUGUGUAGGGAGUACAACACCGCUAGACCCAUGUUACUGACACUUUUACUUUUUUAGCAAAUUUGUGGAGAUUUCCAUCUUGUAAGGUAGAGUGCAGCCUCCAACCCUUGUGAGUGCAGAGUAACCUCAAGGGAAAGGAGUGUAAUCUGCUGUACGGUCUAGGUUUUGCGGUUUUGCUCCAAUCCUUGUGAGUGCAAAGGGAAAGGAGUAUAACCCACUGUACUUUAUUCUGAAAUCAAUACAAGUUUGCUAUCUUUUCUUCAUUCCAA